This 85-nucleotide transfer RNA is filed under the name Desulfococcus multivorans. RNAcentral describes it as "tRNA-Tyr". It matches the Rfam family "tRNA". From Rfam's summary of the family: Transfer RNA (tRNA) molecules are approximately 80 nucleotides in length. Their secondary structure includes four short double-helical elements and three loops (D, anti-codon, and T loops). Further hydrogen bonds mediate the characteristic L-shaped molecular structure. tRNAs have two regions of fundamental functional importance: the anti-codon, which is responsible for specific mRNA codon recognition, and the 3' end, to which the tRNAs corresponding amino acid is attached (by aminoacyl-tRNA synthetases). tRNAs cope with the degeneracy of the genetic code in two manners: having more than one tRNA (with a specific anti-codon) for a particular amino acid; and 'wobble' base-pairing, i.e. permitting non-standard base-pairing at the 3rd anti-codon position. Lineage: Bacteria; Pseudomonadati; Thermodesulfobacteriota; Desulfobacteria; Desulfobacterales; Desulfococcaceae. RNAcentral also lists the same sequence under 17 other names. The record is from RNAcentral.
GGUGGGGUUCCCGAGCGGCCAAAGGGAACAGACUGUAAAUCUGUCGGCGAAGCCUUCGGAGGUUCGAAUCCUCCCCCCACCACCA